UACAUGGGGUGCAAACGUUGCUCGGAAUCAUUGGGCGUAAAGAGCGUGUAGGCGGCCAGGUAGGUCUGCUGUGAAAACUCGAGGCUUAACCUCGAGCUGUCGGCGGAAACCAUCUGGCUAGAGUCCGGAAGAGGAGAAUGGAAUUCCCGGUGUAGCGGUGAAAUGCGCAGAUAUCGGGAAGAACACCCGUGGCGAAGGCGGUUCUCUGGGACGGUACUGACGCUGAGACGCGAAAGCGUGGGGAGCGAACAGG
RNAcentral lists this ribosomal RNA (253 nucleotides) under uncultured bacterium. RNAcentral describes it as "partial 16S ribosomal RNA". It matches the Rfam family "Bacterial small subunit ribosomal RNA", at positions 524 to 776 of the family's 1533-position model. The record is from RNAcentral.